This 465-nucleotide ribosomal RNA is filed under the name uncultured bacterium. RNAcentral's name for it is "partial 16S ribosomal RNA". It matches the Rfam family "Bacterial small subunit ribosomal RNA", at positions 28 to 507 of the family's 1533-position model. The record is from RNAcentral.
GACGAACGCUGGCGGCGUGCUUAACGCAUGCAAGUCGUACGGUAAGGCCCUUUCGGGGGUACACGAGUGGCGAACGGGUGAGUAACACGUGAGUAACCUGCCCACAACUUUGGGAUAACGCUAGGAAACUGGUGCUAAUACUGGAUAUGUGCUCCUGCUGCAUGGUGGGGGUUGGAAGGCUCCGGCGGUUGUGGAUGGACUCGCGGCCUAUCAGCUUGUUGGUGGGGUAGUGGCCUACCAAGGCGGCGACGGGUAGCCGGCCUGAGAGGGUGACCGGCCACAUUGGGACUGAGAUACGGCCCAGACUCCUACGGGAGGCAGCAGUGGGGAAUAUUGCACAAUGGGCGCAAGCCUGAUGCAGCAACGCCGCGUGCGGGAUGACGGCCUUCGGGUUGUAAACCGCUUUCAGCAGGGACGAAGCUUUUUGUGACGGUACCUGCAGAAGAAGCACCGGCUAACUACGUG